This 206-nucleotide ribosomal RNA is filed under the name uncultured bacterium. RNAcentral describes it as "partial 16S ribosomal RNA". It matches the Rfam family "Bacterial small subunit ribosomal RNA", at positions 568 to 774 of the family's 1533-position model. The record is from RNAcentral.
CGUCUAGGCGGUCAGGUAAGUGGGAUGUGAAAUGCCCCGGCUCACCCGGGGACCGGCAUCUCAUACUGCUUGGCUUGAGUACGGGAGAGGAUGUGGGAAUUCCUGGUGUAGCGGUGAAAUGCGUAGAUAUCAGGAGGAACACCGGUGGCGAAGGCGCACAUCUGGCCCGAUACGGACGCUGAAGCGCGAAAGCUAGGGAGCAAACG